GGCCCGGUAGCUCAGCUGGUUAGAGCGCUGCCCUGUCACGGCAGAGGUCAGGGGUUCGAACCCCCUUCGGGUCGCCA
This 77-nucleotide transfer RNA is filed under the name Clostridiales bacterium. Its description in RNAcentral is "tRNA-Asp". It matches the Rfam family "tRNA". Rfam says of the family: Transfer RNA (tRNA) molecules are approximately 80 nucleotides in length. Their secondary structure includes four short double-helical elements and three loops (D, anti-codon, and T loops). RNAcentral also lists the same sequence under 2 other names. Lineage: Bacteria; Bacillati; Bacillota; Clostridia; Eubacteriales. The record is from RNAcentral.